UCCUUGGUGGCUUAGAUGGUAAAGCAUCUGCCUACAAGGCAGGAGACCUGGGUUCAAUCCCUGGGUUGGGAA
This 72-nucleotide transfer RNA is filed under the name Bos taurus (domestic cattle). It matches the Rfam family "tRNA". From Rfam's summary of the family: Transfer RNA (tRNA) molecules are approximately 80 nucleotides in length. Their secondary structure includes four short double-helical elements and three loops (D, anti-codon, and T loops). The record is from Rfam by way of RNAcentral. Lineage: Eukaryota; Metazoa; Chordata; Mammalia; Artiodactyla; Bovidae. RNAcentral also lists the same sequence under 1 other name.